UUGGCCAGUAAUGUUCAUAUGCUUGUCUUAAAGAUUAAGCCAUGCAUGUCUAAGUAUAAGCAACAAUACAGUAAAACUGCAAAUGGCUCAUUACAACAGUUAUAGUUUCUUUGAUAACAAACGUUUACAUGGAUAACCGUAGUAAUUCUAGAGCUAAUACAUGAGCACAUUCUCAACUGUUUUAGAAGAGAAGCAUUUAUUAGAUAAAAAACCAAUAUAUGUUUCUAAGCAUAAAAGUUGGUGACUUACAAUAACUAAGCAAAUCGCACAGUGCAAACUGGCGAUAAGUCAUUCAAGUUUCUGACCUAUCAGCUUUCGACGGUAUGGUAUUGGCUUACCGUGGCAGUGACGGUUAACGGGGGAUUAGGGUUCGAUUCCGGAGAGGGAGCCUGAGAAACGGCUACCACAUCUAAGGAAGGCAGCAGGCGCGCAAAUUACCCAAUUCUAACAGCAUAAGAGAGGUAGUGACAAGAAAUAACAGUACAAGGCAGUUAAAAUGCUUUGUAAUUGGAAUGAUAGAAAUUUAAAUACUUUUUAAAGUAUCAAUUGGAGGGCAAGUCUGGUGCCAGCAGCCGCGGUAAUUCCAGCUCCAAUAGCGUAUAUUAAAAUUGUUGCAGUUAAAAAGCUCGUAGUUGAAUUUCUGCUAAAAAUAACCGGUCUGCUUUUAUUAAUAAAAGUGGUAUCUUGGUGUGUUUUUAGCAAUAAUGUCCUUUGAAUUGUUUUUUACUUUAUUGUUAAAAGCAAAUUUUAGGAUUUUUACUUUGAGAAAAUUAGAGUGUUUCAAGCAGGCUAACGUUUUGAAUACUGCAGCAUGGAAUAAUAAAAUAGGAUUUUAGUUCUACGUUAUUGGUUUUAAGAACUAAAUUAAUGAUUGAUAGGGGCAGUUGGGGGGCAUUUGUAUUUAACUGUCAGAGGUGAAAUCUUCUGUAAGAAUUUUGACC
This 941-nucleotide ribosomal RNA is filed under the name Hepatozoon sp. RNAcentral describes it as "SSU rRNA". It matches the Rfam family "Eukaryotic small subunit ribosomal RNA", at positions 8 to 937 of the family's 1831-position model. The record is from RNAcentral. Lineage: Eukaryota; Apicomplexa; Hepatozoidae.